This 254-nucleotide long non-coding RNA is filed under the name Apteryx rowi (Okarito brown kiwi). Its description in RNAcentral is "lncRNA (ENSARWG00000004169.1)". The record is from RNAcentral. Lineage: Eukaryota; Metazoa; Chordata; Aves; Apterygiformes; Apterygidae.
GGCAAUGCCAAAUUCAGACCCUGGCUCAGACCACAAGCCUCAGGAUGCUGUGACGCACUGCUCGGGCCGGCUGGAUGCAGAGCUGUGGACAGGAGCAAAGCAAAAUCCAGGUGGUGAGAAGAAAGAGUUUGAUGAGCCUCAGGAACAAAGAUCUCCAUUUACAUGCACUUCAUAAACUCUCACCUGCUUUACCAAUGCAUCCUACCCCUGCCAAGAGAAAGUCUUCUCUGGGAGAAAGGAAAGAACUACUGUGA